AAGCUACUUCCUUGCGAACCCGUCCAAGUUGCUUCGGCGGCGCGGUCGCCCUCUUAGGGGGGCGCCGCAGGCCUCUACCUCCCACUGUAGUGGUGGAGGACCUCACCACUGUAGUGGUAGAGGCCCUCCCACUGUAGUGGUGGAGGCUCCCACUGUACAGUGGUAGAGGACCUCCCACUGUAGUGGUGGAGGGGCGCCCGCCGGAGGUACGAAACUCUCCUGUCUUACAGUGGAAUCUCUGAGUACAAAGCAAAUAAGUCAAAACUUUCAACAACGGAUCUCUUGGUUCUGGCAUCGAUGAAGAACGCAGCGAAAUGCGAUAAGUAAUGUGAAUUGCAGAAUUCAGUGAAUCAUCGAAUCUUUGAACGCACAUUGCGCCCGGCAGUACUCUGCCGGGCAUGCCUGUUCGAGCGUCAUUUCAACCCUCAAGCCCGGCUUGGUGUUGGGGCCCUACGGCUGCCGUAGGCCCUGAAAGGAAGUGGCGGGCUCGCUGCAACUCCGAGCGUAGUAACUCACUGUCUCGCUAGGGAGGUUGCGGCGGCGCUCCGGCCGUUAAAGAACCCAUCUUUAACCAAGG
RNAcentral lists this small RNA (577 nucleotides) under Coniochaeta sp. 1720 FeLB. RNAcentral's name for it is "eukaryotic LSU rRNA". The stretch from base 263 to 416 matches the Rfam family "5.8S ribosomal RNA". Lineage: Eukaryota; Fungi; Ascomycota; Sordariomycetes; Coniochaetales; Coniochaetaceae. The record is from RNAcentral.